CCUACGGGUGGCAGCAGUAGGGAAUCUUCCACAAUGGGCGAAAGCCUGAAGGAGCAACGCCGCGUGGGUGAAGACUGCCUUCGGAUCGUAAAACUCUGUUGUUAGAGAAGAAAGUGCGUGAGAGUAACUGUUCAUGCUUUGACGGUAUCUAACCAGAAAGCCACGGCUAACUACGUGCCAGCAGCCGCGGUAAUACGUAGGUGGCAAGCGUUAUCCGGUUUUAUUGGGCGUAAAGGGAACGCAGGCGGUUUGUUAAGUCUGAUGUGAAAGUCUUCGGCUUAACCGGAGUAGUGCAUUGGAAACUGGGAGACUUGAGUGCAGUAGAGGAAAGUGGAAUUCGAUGUGUAGCGGUGAAAUGCGUAGAUAUAUGGAAGAACACCAGUGGCGAAGGCGGCUCUCUGGUCUGUAACUGACGCUGAGGUUCGAAAGCGUGGGUAGCAAACAGGAUUAGAUACCCGAGUAGUC
This 465-nucleotide ribosomal RNA is filed under the name uncultured bacterium. Its description in RNAcentral is "partial 16S ribosomal RNA". It matches the Rfam family "Bacterial small subunit ribosomal RNA", at positions 338 to 795 of the family's 1533-position model. The record is from RNAcentral.